Molecule: small nucleolar RNA, 87 nt
Organism: Dendrobium catenatum
Lineage: Eukaryota; Viridiplantae; Streptophyta; Magnoliopsida; Asparagales; Orchidaceae
Product: small nucleolar RNA Z102/R77
Exons: 1
Source: RefSeq, a predicted model, not a curated record
GAGUGAAAUGAUGAUCAGUAUUAUUUUCCCUAUUGGUCUGAAUGCCGAUAUGAAGGCUACGAUUGUAUUCGCACUAUCUGAUCACUC